RNAcentral lists this ribosomal RNA (864 nucleotides) under uncultured bacterium. Its description in RNAcentral is "bacterial SSU rRNA". It matches the Rfam family "Bacterial small subunit ribosomal RNA", at positions 28 to 896 of the family's 1533-position model. The record is from RNAcentral.
GACGAACGCUGGCGGCGUGCUUAACACAUGCAAGUCGAGCGGGGACAGCAGAAGUGCUUGCACUUCUACUGUUCUAGCGGCGGACGGGUGAGUAACGCGUGAGCAAUCUGUCCCAGACAGGGGGAUAACACUUGGAAACAGGUGCUAAUACCGCAUAAGACCACGUCCUCGCAUGGGGAUGAGGUAAAAGGAGAAAUCCGGUUUGGGGUGAGCUCGCGUCUGAUUAGCUAGUUGGUGAGGUAACGGCUCACCAAGGCGACGAUCAGUAGCCGGACUGAGAGGUUGAACGGCCACAUUGGGACUGAGAUACGGCCCAGACUCCUACGGGAGGCAGCAGUGGGGAAUAUUGGGCAAUGGGGGCAACCCUGACCCAGCAACGCCGCGUGAAGGAAGAAGGCCUUCGGGUUGUAAACUUCUUUGACCAGGGAAGAAGAAAGUGACGGUACCUGGAAAACAAGCCACGGCUAACUACGUGCCAGCAGCCGCGGUAAUACGUAGGUGGCAAGCGUUAUCCGGAUUUACUGGGUGUAAAGGGCGCGUAGGCGGGUAUGCAAGUCAGAUGUGAAAUGUACAGGCUCAACCUGUGAACUGCAUUUGAAACUGAGAUUCUUGAGUGAAGUAGAGGCAAGCGGAAUUCCUAGUGUAGCGGUGGAAUGCGUAGAUAUUAGGAGGAACACCAGUGGCGAAGGCGGCUUGCUGGGCUUUUACUGACGCUGAGGCUCGAAAGCGUGGGGAGCAAACAGGAUUAGAUACCCUGGUAGUCCACGCCGUAAACGAUGAUUACUAGGUGUGGGGGGACUGACCCCUUCCGUGCCGCAGUUAACACAAUAAGUAAUCCACCUGGGGAGUACGACCGCAAGGUUG